This 416-nucleotide ribosomal RNA is filed under the name uncultured bacterium. RNAcentral describes it as "bacterial SSU rRNA". It matches the Rfam family "Bacterial small subunit ribosomal RNA", at positions 8 to 403 of the family's 1533-position model. The record is from RNAcentral.
AGAGUUUGAUCAUGGCUCAGGAUGAACGCUGGCGGCGUGCUUAACACAUGCAAGUCGAACGAAGCACUCUUUUAGAUUUCCUUCGGGGAAGAAGAAAUUGUGACUGAGUGGCGGACGGGUGAGUAACGCGUGGGCAACCUGCCCCAUACAGGGGGAUAACAGCCGGAAACGGCUGCUAAAACCGCAUAAGCGCACAAGGGCCGCAUGGCCUGGUGUGAAAAACUCCGGUGGUAUGGGAUGGGCCCGCGUCUGAUUAGCUAGUUGGCGGGGGAGAGGCCCACCAAGGCGACGAUCAGUAGCCGACCUGAGAGGGUGGCCGGCCACAUUGGGACUGAGACACGGCCCAAACUCCUACGGGAGGCAGCAGUGGGGAAUAUUGCACAAUGGGGGAAACCCUGAUGCAGCGACGCCGCGUG